AGUGAACGCUGGCGGUAGGCCUAACACAUGCAAGUCGAACGGCAGCACAGUAAGAGCUAGCUCUUACGGGUUGCGAGUGGCGGACGGGUGAGGAAUACAUCGGAAUCUACUUUUUCGUGGGGGAUAACGUAGGGAAACUUACGCUAAUACCGCAUACGACCUACGGGUGAAAGCAGGGGAUCUUCGGACCUUGCGCGAUUGAAUGAGCCGAUGUCGGAUUAGCUAGUUGGCGGGGUAAAGGCCCACCAACGCGACGAUCCGUAGGUGGUCUGAGAGGAGGAUCCGCCACACUGGAGCUGAAACACGAUCCCGACUACUGCGAAAGGAAGCAGUGGGGAAUAUUGGACAAUGGGCGCAAACCUGAUGCAGCCGUACCGCGUGGGUGAAGAGGGCCUUCGGGUUGUAAAGCCCUUUUGUUUGGAAAGAAAAGCAGCAGGUUAAUACCCCGCUGUUCUGACGGUACCCAAAGAAUAAGCACCGGCUAACUUCGUG
This 492-nucleotide ribosomal RNA is filed under the name uncultured bacterium. Its description in RNAcentral is "partial 16S ribosomal RNA". It matches the Rfam family "Bacterial small subunit ribosomal RNA", at positions 29 to 507 of the family's 1533-position model. The record is from RNAcentral.